This 2256-nucleotide long non-coding RNA is filed under the name Equus caballus (horse). RNAcentral's name for it is "lncRNA (ENSECAG00000056959.1)". Lineage: Eukaryota; Metazoa; Chordata; Mammalia; Perissodactyla; Equidae. The record is from RNAcentral.
GCAUGCUGCAGCUGGCUCCUGCAAGAGACCCGGGCCAAGGGCAUGGUGGGGAAGCAGCAAGGACUAAAUGAAGCUCAUCAUGCUCACUGCCUGCCACUGAGGGCUUCCAGUUGUGGCAUGUGGGACGCUGCCUCAGCGUGGUUCAACGAGCAGUGUCAUGUCCGCGCCCAGGAUUCGAAUCAACGAAACACUGGGCCGCCUGCAGCGAAGCGAGCAAACUUAACCACUCUGCCACGGGGCCAGCCCCCCUUCCGGGGCCCUUUUGCUGCUGGAUGAGCCUGGUUCUCAGAUUGACAGCAAAUAGCAAAGCAAACAAGCUUCUCGAGACUGACGAUGUGGUGGUGCUAUCCUGGAUUAGGAGGAGUCCUUCUUCCUGAUUGCCUACUACUGUUAAGAGCACUAAAGUAAGCUUUCCUGGCUGAUGAAGUCCAGCACUCAAUGAGAAUGGCAGCUAAUCCUGAGUCAAUCUGCUGGAACUUAAAAGGUUAAUCACUUUAUGUGGCCUCUUACUGGACAACAUUAACAGUGGAUUUUAUAUGCUUAGGGGUCAUGAUGAAGAAAACAACAUGAGACUAAAUCAAGCACAGGAGAAAAUGAUGCAAUCAAGACACACGGUAAACAUGAGAUGUAUGAGGCUGCUGCUGGUAUAACACAGCAUACUAUUUUACAGUAAACUUUUUUUAUAUGUAGAAAGAAUGCACUAAAAUAAUGAUAAAAAAGUAUAGUACAGUAAACACAUAAACCAGUAAAGUAGCCAUUUAUUAUCGUCAUCAAGUAUAAUGUACUGUACAUAAUUGAAUGUGCUAUACUUUUACACAACUAGCAGUGCUGUAGGUUUGUUUACACCAGCAUCACCACAAACACAGCAGUAAUGCUUUGCGCUAUGAUGUUAGGAUGGCUAUGACGUCACUAGGUGAUAGGAAAAUUUCAGCUCUAUUAUAAUCUUAUGGAACCACACUUGUAUAUGUGGUCCGUCAUUGACCAAAACAUCAUUUUACAGUGCAUGAUUGUACUAGUUUUUAGAUUCUUUGCAACUAAUAUUUGUUUUAUUGUUUAACCAUCUGUAUUAGUUUCCUAGACCUGCUCUAACAAAAUAGCACAAAUUUGGUGGCAGCAAAAAUUUAUUCUUUCACCGUUUUGGAGGUCAGAAGUCCCAAAUUAAAGUGUUGGCAGGAUUGAUUCCUUCUGGAGGCUCGGAAGUAGAAUGUAUUCCCCACCUUCCGGCAGCUUCUGGCAAUCCUUGAUAUCUCUUGGCUUGUAGACUCAUCACGCCCAGCUCUGCUCCAUGUUCAAGUCAGCUUUCUCUCUGUGUGUUUGUGUCUCAACUCUCCCUCUCCUUUUCCUUAUAAGGACACCGGUCACUGGAUUUAGGGCCCGCUCUAAAUCCAGGAUGUCAUUUUGAGACCUUUAACUUCAUCAAAUCUGCGAAGACUCUAUUUCCAAAUAAGGUCACAUUCACAGAUACCAGGGUUAGGAGCCGGACAUAUCUUUUGGGGAGAUACAAUUCAACUCACUACAUCAUCUAUGGCUUUUAAAAAUUUCUGCAUUAUAUGAGAAAGCACAUGUUAGAUUUUAUAUAUGUUAAGGAUAUGAUUACAGAAGCAAAGUGAGAAGUUGAUACAAUUGUCUAGAAAAUUCCAGAAAAAUGCUCAAUUUUGAUUCAUGUGGCUGAAUAUUUUAGGCCAAACAUAAUUUGAAAAUCUGCAUGAUGCUCUUGGAAGAUUCUUUUAGUCUUAAGAGAUAUGGAGUUGAGAAAAAGAUAACAUAAUAACUAGGAGUAGGGUACACAUCAUUAGAGAACAGAAAGACAAGGCUUUUCAGGCUCAAAAACAUUCUGAAAUUCUGGUGAUAUGUGAAAAUGACUUGCAAUGCUGCAAAAUUACAUGACCAUGGAUGUACUUUUUAUUUGUUACAGUCUAGAAUUUGUGCUUUUAUCUGUAAUUCAAAUAUUAAUGGCAGUUAGUUGGUUAACAUUUAUUGAACUCUAGAUCUUCAAUUAUGAGAGGAUCAAUAGAAGUCUUUUGCUCUUCUUUACCAGCUUCUGUUGGUCAGCGAUGUUUAUGUGAUUGAGUAAGGUUUUGAUGGCUUUGGUGUCAAUUCCUUUUGACCAUUUAUUUGGCCUUUGAUGGAUCAGUAUAGUGAAUUUUCAAUAACAAUGGAGAAUUGGAUUUUCAUUUUCUUAAACAUAGCACUCUAAUUUAUGAUACUUCUUCCAAACAGUGAAUGACUUAAUGAAUUCUUCUAAAACACGCUUUG